GACGAACGCUGGCGGCGUGCUUAACACAUGCAAGUCGAACGGAAAGGCCCUGCUUUUGUGGGGUGCUCGAGUGGCGAACGGGUGAGUAACACGUGAGUAACCUGCCCUUGACUUUGGGAUAACUUCAGGAAACUGGGGCUAAUACCGGAUAGGAGCUCCUGCUGCAUGGUGGGGGUUGGAAAGUUUCGGCGGUUGGGGAUGGACUCGCGGCUUAUCAGCUUGUUGGUGGGGUAGUGGCUUACCAAGGCUUUGACGGGUAGCCGGCCUGAGAGGGUGACCGGCCACAUUGGGACUGAGAUACGGCCCAGACUCCUACGGGAGGCAGCAGUGGGGAAUAUUGCACAAUGGGCGGAAGCCUGAUGCAGCAACGCCGCGUGCGGGAUGACGGCCUUCGGGUUGUAAACCGCUUUCGCCUGUGACGAAGCGUGAGUGACGGUAAUGGGUAAAGAAGCACCGGCUAACUACGUGCCAGCAGCCGCGGCGAUACGUAGGGUGCGAGCGUUGUCCGGAUUUAUUGGGCGUAAAGGGCUCGUAGGUGGUUGAUCGCGUCGGAAGUGUAAUCUUGGGGCUUAACCCUGAGCGUGCUUUCGAUACGGGUUGACUUGAGGAAGGUAGGGGAGAAUGGAAUUCCUGGUGGAGCGGUGGAAUGCGCAGAUAUCAGGAGGAACACCAGUGGCGAAGGCGGUUCUCUGGGCCUUUCCUGACGCUGAGGAGCGAAAGCGUGGGGAGCGAACAGGCUUAGAUACCCUGGUAGUCCACGCUGUAAACGGUGGGUACUAGGUGUGGGGUCCAUUCCACGGGUUCCGUGCCGUAGCUAACGCUUUAAGUACCCCGCCUGGGGAGUACGGCCGCAAGGCUAAAACUCAAAGGAAUUGACGGGGCCCCGCACAAGCGGCGGAGCAUGCGGAUUAAUUCGAUGCAACGCGUAGAACCUUACCUGGGUUUGACAUGGAUCGGGAGUGCUCAGAGAUGGGUGUGCCUCUUUUGGGGUCGGUUCACAGGUGGUGCAUGGCUGUCGUCAGCUCGUGUCGUGAGAUGUUGGGUUAAGUCCCGCAACGAGCGCAACCCUUGUUCACUGUUGCCAGCACGUUAUGGUGGGGACUCAGUGGAGACCGCCGGGGUCAACUCGGAGGAAGGUGGGGAUGACGUCAAGUCAUCAUGCCCCUUAUGUCCAGGGCUUCACGCAUGCUACAAUGGCUGGUACAGAGAGUGGCGAGCCUGUGAGGGUGAGCGAAUCUCGGAAAGUCGGUCUCAGUUCGGAUUGGGGUCUGCAACUCGACCUCAUGAAGUCGGAGUCGCUAGUAAUCGCAGAUCAGCAACGCUGCGGUGAAUACGUUCCCGGGGCU
Molecule: ribosomal RNA, 1346 nt
Filed under: uncultured bacterium
Lineage: Bacteria
Description: partial 16S ribosomal RNA
Rfam family: Bacterial small subunit ribosomal RNA
Source: RNAcentral